Long non-coding RNA from Vidua chalybeata, 436 nucleotides. RefSeq lists it as uncharacterized. The record is from RefSeq and is a predicted model, not a curated record. The transcript is spliced from 2 exons. NCBI's taxonomy places the organism in Eukaryota, Metazoa, Chordata, Aves, Passeriformes, Viduidae.
GGGAGAUGAGCCCCAGGCCACAUCAGGACACCUCACAUACCCCUGGACCUGCCCUGCACCCACCUUGGAGAGCAGCAGCGAGUUGGUCAGGAAGCUGGACCCCAUAAAAGAGCUGGCGAGCAGGCAGGCACACCGGGGACCGCCUGUGGGAACCCCUGGGGCUGCGUCCGCCGUGGGAAGAUGCCAUGAUAGCAACUCGUGGUGUCUCCCCCACCCCGAGGCUGCGGUUUCACAACGUUUCCUCUGAUCUGAGCAUGGGUUUGCCACCGGACGAGACACCCCGCUUCCACACAACACCCCUCGCUGCAGCGUGAUCAAAGGAGCUGGAUCCGGUGGGUUUGCCACCACCGCUGGUCACUCUGUGGUUAGCCAAGGUGGGCGCCAGGGAAGCCCCCACCUUGGGAAUAAGGGAAUAAAGGCCUGGAAAACAGCCUGA